This 97-nucleotide small nuclear RNA is filed under the name Solanum tuberosum (potato). Lineage: Eukaryota; Viridiplantae; Streptophyta; Magnoliopsida; Solanales; Solanaceae. The record is from RNAcentral.
AUUGUUUUUAUCGAUAUAAUUGAAACGAUACAGAGAAGAUUAGAAUAGUCUGUAUGCAAGUAUGACAUGUACAAAUCGAUUGAGAAAUGAAGUUUAU